Molecule: ribosomal RNA, 451 nt
Filed under: uncultured bacterium
Lineage: Bacteria
Description: partial 16S ribosomal RNA
Rfam family: Bacterial small subunit ribosomal RNA
Source: RNAcentral
GUCGAGAAUCAUUCGCAAUGGGCGAAAGCCUGACGGUGCGACGCCGCGUGGAGGAUGAAGGCCCUAGGGUCGUAAACUCCUGUCAUCAGGGAGUAAAGACUCGUGUAGUCACUGACACGGGUCCUGAUAGUACCUGAAGAGGAAGGGACGGCAAACUUCGUGCCAGCAGCCGCGGUAAUACGAAGGUCCCAAGCGUUGUUCGGAUUUACUGGGCGUAAAGAGUCUAUAGGCGGCGGGGUAAGUCAGAUGUGAAAUCCCGGGGCUCAACACCGGAACUGCAGCCGAGACUGACUUGCUAGAGUAGUGGAGGGGAGUCUGGAAUUCUCGGUGUAGCAGUGAAAUGCGUAGAUAUCGAGAGGAACACUAGUGGGGAAGGAGAGACUCUGGACAAGUACUGACGCUGAGAGACGAAGGCCAGGGGAGCGAAAAGGAUUAGAUACCCCUGUAGUCC